CCCUGAUUUGCCUCCAUUUGCUCCCUUAGUUCAGAAGCCGAGACUUGAAAGCUGUCCUGUGGAGGAUAAAAGACACAUCAGCUGGCUGAACAUUUGUAAGAGCCUCAUAAAGCGACAUCUUCAGCAUGAAGCAGCUGACUGGAGCCAGACGCAGAAUUAUUUCAACACCUGUUGAAACAAGCUGUCUUGGGUCAGGUCCAACCUGUUGGUAACAGCUGGGUGCUGGAGCACAGAAUCAGCCAUGGCAGGGACCAGAAAUGCCACCAAAGUCAUUGCAAGGGACAGAGUUAAGGUCCCAGACUCCCUUCCUGGCCCAAAGCCUCACUUCAUCCUACACUAAGGCUGGAAGAGAAACAGUCAAACCUGAGAAAGCAAAGAUCUUGUGGAAUAACGUUUCCCUAGACACAGUAUCAAAGAAAGAGUUAAGUUCUCCAGCAUUCAAGUCUCGGUCCAAUCUUUAAGUGAGAGCAUUCGGGGCAUUUGUCUGAAAACCUUGGUGUACUUUGACAUCCAGCCGUGAAGAGAAUGGACUUAUUUUUUCCAGUCUUGGCAAGAACAGCACUCUUAAAUCAAAACGACUUAGUCAUAUUAUGAAAGCUGAGACCCUUGUGAGUUUAUAUUCCUUGCUGUGUUUGGGUAUUUGUGUGGGCCCGAGGCCAGGAGUAAGCAAAAGCUUUUAAGAAGAGAGGAGCGACUGUGCAUCGCUGAUUUGAACGGCAUUCCUGCCUCCUUCAGGCUUUGAGGACAGCCCUUGGCUUGACUUCCUGUCCCUGCCUCUACCUCUGGAACCUCACAGGUCACCACAAGUUCUGCAAAUGGCAUUCAGAAAGGGAAUCUCCACGUGCUGAGAGUGCCCUUACCAACAGUCCAGAAGCCCAGCAUGGCUUCCUCUUGAUUCAGGGGCUAGUAGGAAAGAGAUAGAAAGAAAAUCAGUUGUACGUGCACUGCGGAAAACUAUACAGAAACACAACAUUAAGCAAGGCACAUAAUGACUUAUGAAGCAAAGCACCUGCAUCCUUUUUGGUUCAAAUACAGAGACACUUUU
Gallus gallus (chicken) is the source of this 1045-nucleotide long non-coding RNA. NCBI's taxonomy places the organism in Eukaryota, Metazoa, Chordata, Aves, Galliformes, Phasianidae. The record is from Ensembl.